GCGGGUUAGCUCAGCUGGUUAGAGCGUCCGCCUCACACGCGGAAGGUCACAGAUUCGAGUUCUGUUA
Molecule: transfer RNA, 67 nt
Filed under: Lentisphaeria bacterium
Lineage: Bacteria; Pseudomonadati; Lentisphaerota; Lentisphaeria
Description: tRNA-Val
Rfam family: tRNA (bases 7-65)
About the family: Transfer RNA (tRNA) molecules are approximately 80 nucleotides in length.
Source: RNAcentral